UACGUAGGGUGCAAGCGUUGUCCGGAAUUAUUGGGCGUAAAGAGCUCGUAGGCGGUCUGUCGCGUCUGCUGUGAAAACCUGGGGCUUAACUCUGGGCGUGCAGUGGGUACGGGCAGACUAGAGUGUGGUAGGGGAGACUGGAAUUCCGUGGUGAUAGCGGUGAAAUGCGCAGAUAUCAGGAGGAACACCGAUGGCGAAGGCAGGUCUCUGGGCCGACUACU
This 221-nucleotide ribosomal RNA is filed under the name uncultured bacterium. RNAcentral describes it as "partial 16S ribosomal RNA". It matches the Rfam family "Bacterial small subunit ribosomal RNA", at positions 524 to 741 of the family's 1533-position model. The record is from RNAcentral.